AACGAACGCUGGCGGCAUGCCUAACACAUGCAAGUCGAACGAGACCUCAGGGUCUAGUGGCGCACGGGGGCGUAACGCGGGGGAAGCGGCCCUUAGGUUCGGGAUAAUACCUUGUAAUGGGUGCUAAUACAGGGAAAUGUACUCGGACCAAGGAUUUAUCGCCAUGGGGUGGGCCGGCGUUGUCUUGGCCAGUGGGUAUGGUAAAAGCCUACCAAGGCGUCGAUCCAUAGCUGGGCUGAGAGGAAGAGCAGCGACACUGGGGCUAAGACACGGGCCCGACUACUACGGAAUGCAGGCGAGGCUAAUAUAGGACAACGGGCGGAAGCCAGAUCCCCCUAUGCCGCGUAAGUCAUUAAGGCCUUAGAGAUGUAAAGCUCUUUUACCCGCCACGAUAAUGACGGUACCCAGAGAAUAAGCUCCGGCUAACUCCGUG
This 433-nucleotide ribosomal RNA is filed under the name uncultured bacterium. Its description in RNAcentral is "partial 16S ribosomal RNA". It matches the Rfam family "Bacterial small subunit ribosomal RNA", at positions 29 to 507 of the family's 1533-position model. The record is from RNAcentral.